RNAcentral lists this long non-coding RNA (266 nucleotides) under Mytilus galloprovincialis (Mediterranean mussel). Lineage: Eukaryota; Metazoa; Mollusca; Bivalvia; Mytilida; Mytilidae. The record is from RNAcentral.
GGCGGUCUUGGUUUAUAGCAUGAGGUUCCAUAACUAUGUGUUCAGGAUUGACACAGAGAGUUUGGUGACAAAUAUGGCUACAUUCUACUUUAUUGUUGUUCUCAUCUAUUUGUGGCAUAUCAUAUCUUAAUCAUGUAUGCCAGUCUAUGUGCAGUCUCCCUUUUUCCUCUCCCCCUGGCCAUUUCACAACCUGUAUGCCAUAUCCACAUUUCCCUUUUUUUGCUCCGACCCAUUCAACACAUCCCUUCCGAUUCCCCAUAACUUCA